CCUACGGGAGGCAGCAGUGGGGAAUUUUGGACAAUGGGGGCAACCCUGAUCCAGCAAUGCCGCGUGAGUGAAGAAGGCCUUCGGGUUGUAAAGCUCUUUUGUCAGGGAAGAAACACCGGCUCUAACACAGUCCGGGAAUGACGGUACCUGAAGAAUAAGCACCGGCUAACUACGUGCCAGCAGCCGCGGUAAUACGUAGGGUGCGAGCGUUAAUCGGAAUUACUGGGCGUAAAGCGUGCGCAGGCGGUUAUACAAGACAGGCGUGAAAUCCCCGGGCUUAACCUGGGAAUGGCGCCUGUGACUGUAUAGCUAGAGUGUGUCAGAGGGGGGUAGAAUUCCACGUGUAGCAGUGAAAUGCGUAGAUAUGUGGAGGAAUACCAAUGGCGAAGGCAGCCCCCUGGGAUAACACUGACGCUCAUGCACGAAAGCGUGGGGAGCAAACAGGAUUAGAUACCCUGGUAGUCCACGCCCUAAACGAUGCUGACUAGUUGUUCGGGAUUUACAUCCUGAGUAACGUAGCUAACGCGUGAAGUCAGCCGCCUGGGGAGUCGGUCGCAAGNUUAAAACCUUAAAUGAAAUUGACGG
RNAcentral lists this ribosomal RNA (585 nucleotides) under uncultured bacterium. RNAcentral's name for it is "bacterial SSU rRNA". It matches the Rfam family "Bacterial small subunit ribosomal RNA", at positions 338 to 916 of the family's 1533-position model. The record is from RNAcentral.